AUCGCUUCUCGGCCUUUUGGCUAAGAUCAAGUGUAGUAUCUUGGUAGGGGUUUUUGUUAGUGAUGUUGUUUUUGCAGAAUUGGGGGGUUACGCUCAGAACCUCCCAUAGGCUAUGUACUCUAAUACUGAGCUAACUACCC
This 140-nucleotide small nuclear RNA is filed under the name Marmota marmota marmota (Alpine marmot). Its description in RNAcentral is "U2 spliceosomal RNA". It matches the Rfam family "U2 spliceosomal RNA". Rfam says of the family: U2 is a small nuclear RNA (snRNA) component of the spliceosome (involved in pre-mRNA splicing). Complementary binding between U2 snRNA (in an area lying towards the 5' end but 3' to hairpin I) and the branchpoint sequence (BPS) of the intron results the bulging out of an unpaired adenosine, on the BPS, which initiates a nucleophilic attack at the intronic 5' splice site, thus starting the first of two transesterification reactions that mediate splicing. The record is from Rfam by way of RNAcentral. Lineage: Eukaryota; Metazoa; Chordata; Mammalia; Rodentia; Sciuridae. RNAcentral also lists the same sequence under 1 other name.